CCUGCCCCUAGAGGCUUUACAGGUGUGCCUGCUGUGUCACAUGUGUGUCAGUAGGUGGCAGGGAGGUGAAAGACUAUGUCUAUGCUCAGUGUUCUAAGCUGUGAACCUUUGAUUGAUUAGUAGUCAAACAUU
This is a small nucleolar RNA of Rattus norvegicus (Norway rat), 132 nucleotides long. Ensembl annotates it as small nucleolar RNA SNORA17. The record is from Ensembl. NCBI's taxonomy places the organism in Eukaryota, Metazoa, Chordata, Mammalia, Rodentia, Muridae.